Molecule: ribosomal RNA, 539 nt
Filed under: Candidozyma auris
Lineage: Eukaryota; Fungi; Ascomycota; Pichiomycetes; Serinales; Metschnikowiaceae
Description: [Candida] auris partial large subunit ribosomal RNA
Rfam family: Eukaryotic large subunit ribosomal RNA
Source: RNAcentral
AAGCGGAGGAAAAGAAACCAACAGGGAUUGCCUCAGUAACGGCGAGUGAAGCGGCAAGAGCUCAACUUUGGAAUCGCUCCGGCGAGUUGUAGUCUGGAGGUGGCCACCACGAGGUGUUCUAGCAGCAGGCAAGUCCUUUGGAACAAGGCGCCAGCGAGGGUGACAGCCCCGUACCUGCUUUUGCUAGUGCUUCCUGUGGCCCACCGACGAGUCGAGUUGUUUGGGAAUGCAGCUCUAAGUGGGUGGUAAAUUCCAUCUAAGGCUAAAUAUUGGCGAGAGACCGAUAGCGAACAAGUACAGUGAUGGAAAGAUGAAAAGCACUUUGAAAAGAGAGUGAAACAGUACGUGAAAUUGUUGAAAGGGAAGGGCUUGCACCCAGACACGGUUUCGGCCGGGCCAGCAUCAAGUAGAACGGGGUUAAAAGACUUGGGGAAUGUAGCUACUUCGGUAGUGUUAUAGCCCUUGGUGAUGACCCCUGUUUUGCUUGAGGACAGCGGUCUCUAGGAUGCUGGCGCAAUGGUUGCAAGCCACCCGUCUUG